RNAcentral lists this ribosomal RNA (465 nucleotides) under Vreelandella stevensii. RNAcentral's name for it is "partial 16S ribosomal RNA". It matches the Rfam family "Bacterial small subunit ribosomal RNA", at positions 338 to 795 of the family's 1533-position model. The record is from RNAcentral. Lineage: Bacteria; Pseudomonadati; Pseudomonadota; Gammaproteobacteria; Oceanospirillales; Halomonadaceae.
CCUACGGGAGGCAGCAGUGGGGAAUAUUGGACAAUGGGGGCAACCCUGAUCCUGCCAUGCCGCGUGUGUGAAGAAGGCCCUCGGGUUGUAAAGCACUUUCAGUGAGGAAGAACGCCUGGUGGUUAAUACCCAUCAGGAAAGACAUCACUCACAGAAGAAGCACCGGCUAACUCCGUGCCAGCAGCCGCGGUAAUACGGAGGGUGCGAGCGUUAAUCGGAAUUACUGGGCGUAAAGCGCGCGUAGGUGGCUUGAUAAGCCGGUUGUGAAAGCCCCGGGCUCAACCUGGGAACGGCAUCCGGAACUGUCAAGCUAGAGUGCAGGAGAGGAAGGUAGAAUUCCCGGUGUAGCGGUGAAAUGCGUAGAGAUCGGGAGGAAUACCAGUGGCGAAGGCGGCCUUCUGGACUGACACUGACACUGAGGUGCGAAAGCGUGGGUAGCAAACAGGAUUAGAUACCCCUGUAGUC